GACGUAGGGGGCCAGCGUUGUUCGGAAUUACUGGGUGUAAAGGGUUCGUAGGCGGUGCGGCAAGUCGGGAGUGAAAUCUCUGGGCUUAACCCAGAGGCUGCUUCCGAAACUGCUGUGCUUGAGUGUGGGAGAGGCGCGUGGAAUUGCAGGUGUAGCGGUGAAAUGCGUAGAUAUCUGCAGGAACACCCGUGGCGAAAGCGGCGCGCUGGACCACUACUGACGCUGAGGAACGAAUGCUAGGGGAGCAAACAGG
RNAcentral lists this ribosomal RNA (253 nucleotides) under uncultured bacterium. RNAcentral's name for it is "partial 16S ribosomal RNA". It matches the Rfam family "Bacterial small subunit ribosomal RNA", at positions 524 to 776 of the family's 1533-position model. The record is from RNAcentral.